GAAUUUUGGACAAUGGGCGAAAGCCUGAUCCAGCAAUGCCGCGUGCAGGAUGAAGGCCUUCGGGUUGUAAACUGCUUUUGUACGGAACGAAAAGCUUUGGGUUAAUACCCUGGAGUCAUGACGGUACCGAACGAAUACGCACCGGCUAACUACGUGCCAGCAGCCGCGGUAAUCCGUAGGGUGCAAGCGUUAAUCGGAAUUACUGGGCGUAAAGCGUGCGCAGGCGGUUUUGUAAGACAGAGGUGAAAGCCCCGGGCUCAACCUGGGAACUGCCUUUGUGACUGCAAGGCUAGAGUACGGCAGAGGGGGGUGGAAUUCCGCGUGUAGCAGUGAAAUGCGUAGAUAUGCGGAGGAACACCGAUGGCGAAGGCGACCACCUGGGCUAAUACUGACACUGAGGUGCGAAAGCGUGGGGAGCAAACAGG
RNAcentral lists this ribosomal RNA (425 nucleotides) under uncultured bacterium. RNAcentral's name for it is "bacterial SSU rRNA". It matches the Rfam family "Bacterial small subunit ribosomal RNA", at positions 359 to 776 of the family's 1533-position model. The record is from RNAcentral.